This 447-nucleotide long non-coding RNA is filed under the name Phoenix dactylifera (date palm). RNAcentral's name for it is "long non-coding RNA (PDAC_LNC013501)". The record is from RNAcentral. Lineage: Eukaryota; Viridiplantae; Streptophyta; Magnoliopsida; Arecales; Arecaceae.
UAGAUGGAAUCUAUCGAUCUUGAUAGGUUAAGAGAGAUCCUAUGUGAUUUAUGAGACUGAGUUCGUAAAUCCUCGACCGGGGUAGUAUGUACAGUGGAAAAGGAGUUUUCCAUUCUCAAACUUAAGUCGAAUAAAUCUUGACAUAUGACAGACGAUGGGGUUUGACGAGUUAUCCAUGACCUCCGUCCUGUAGGGAUCCACGAUAGAAGGACUGUAUUAUAUACUAACUGCACCUAGAGGUUCAUCAUUCCAUUCUGCUAGGUAGCCACUACAUGCUGCUAGGUGUCACUGGUGGAUGGUGAGACUCACAGGGACUAUCUUGAUGAUUGAUGAUCCCUAGUGAGUUGAGUUGGAAUUGUUCCAACCCAUUGAAAGGAGUUUUCAAUGAUAUUGUGAUAGAGAUCGCAGUAUAUCUCACUACCAGACAGAAUAGAACCUAUGGGGUCA